UAUCAACAGCUAAUUCGACAUCCAUUUUGCAUCCUACCUGAACUGUGAGCUCUCUCCAGUCAGUAAAAGACAGUCUUAUCUUGACUCUUAUUCUGACCCUUUUU
Molecule: long non-coding RNA, 104 nt
Organism: Melanotaenia boesemani (Boeseman's rainbowfish)
Lineage: Eukaryota; Metazoa; Chordata; Actinopteri; Atheriniformes; Melanotaeniidae
Exons: 3
Source: RefSeq, a predicted model, not a curated record